GAGCUAACGCGUUAAGUCGACCGCCUGGGGAGUACGGCCGCAAGGUUAAAACUCAAAUGAAUUGACGGGGGCCCGCACAAGCGGUGGAGCAUGUGGUUUAAUUCGAUGCAACGCGAAGAACCUUACCUACUCUUGACAUCCAGCGAACUUGCCAGAGAUGGCUUGGUGCCUUCGGGAACGCUGAGACAGGUGCUGCAUGGCUGUCGUCAGCUCGUGUUGUGAAAUGUUGGGUUAAGUCCCGCAACGAGCGCAACCCUUAUCCUUUGUUGCCAGCGAUUCGGUCGGGAACUCAAAGGAGACUGCCGGUGAUAAACCGGAGGAAGGUGGGGAUGACGUCAAGUCAUCAUGGCCCUUACGAGUAGGGCUACACACGUGCUACAAUGGCGCAUACAAAGAGAAGCGACCUCGCGAGAGCAAGCGGACCUCAUAAAGUGCGUCGUAGUCCGGAUCGGAGUCUGCAACUCGACUCCGUGAAGUCGGAAUCGCUAGUAAUCGUGGAUCAGAAUGCCACGGUGAAUACGUUCCCGGGCCUUGUACACACCGCCCGUCACACCAUGGGAGUGGGUUGCAAAAGAAGUAGGUAGCUUAACCUUCGGGAGGGCGCU
RNAcentral lists this ribosomal RNA (605 nucleotides) under Pantoea sp. RNAcentral's name for it is "bacterial SSU rRNA". It matches the Rfam family "Bacterial small subunit ribosomal RNA", at positions 848 to 1454 of the family's 1533-position model. Lineage: Bacteria; Pseudomonadati; Pseudomonadota; Gammaproteobacteria; Enterobacterales; Erwiniaceae. The record is from RNAcentral.